RNAcentral lists this ribosomal RNA (498 nucleotides) under uncultured bacterium. RNAcentral describes it as "partial 16S ribosomal RNA". It matches the Rfam family "Bacterial small subunit ribosomal RNA", at positions 30 to 523 of the family's 1533-position model. The record is from RNAcentral.
AUUGAACGCUGGCGGCAUGCCUUACACAUGCAAGUCGAACGGUAACAGGUCUUCGGAUGCUGACGAGUGGCGAACGGGUGAGUAAUACAUCGGAACGUGCCUAGUAGUGGGGGAUAACUACUCGAAAGAGUGGCUAAUACCGCAUGAGAUCUACGGAUGAAAGCAGGGGAUCGCAAGCCCUUGUGCUACUAGAGCGGCCGAUGGCAGAGUAGGUAGUUGGUGGGAUAAAAGCUUACCAAGCCGACGAUCUGUAGCUGGUCUGAGAGGACGAUCAGCCACACUGGGACUGAGACACGGCCCAGACUCCUACGGGAGGCAGCAGUGGGGAAUUUUGGACAAUGGGCGAAAGCCUGAUCCAGCAAUGCCGCGUGCAGGAUGAAGGCCUUCGGGUUGUAAACUGCUCUUGUACGGAACGAAAAGCCCCGGGUUAAUACCCUGGGGUCAUGACGGUACCGUAAGAAUCAGCACCGGCUAACUACGUGCCAGCCGCCGCAGUAA